RNAcentral lists this transfer RNA (65 nucleotides) under Vampyroteuthis infernalis. RNAcentral describes it as "tRNA-Ser(UGA)". Lineage: Eukaryota; Metazoa; Mollusca; Cephalopoda; Vampyromorpha; Vampyroteuthidae. The record is from RNAcentral.
AGUUUUAGUUGGUGCUAAUAAAGUUUUGAAAACUUUAAUGGGGUGUUCGAUUCACUUAAGAUUUU